Molecule: long non-coding RNA, 3269 nt
Organism: Oncorhynchus nerka (sockeye salmon)
Lineage: Eukaryota; Metazoa; Chordata; Actinopteri; Salmoniformes; Salmonidae
Exons: 2
Source: RefSeq, a predicted model, not a curated record
UUCCGAAAUGGUGAAAGUCACUCUGUGGAGCUGCAGACGUUAUUAAACUCCAUCCUUCUUGCUAUCAUUUUGUAGAAGCAUUGUCUUUUUACUCAUUUCAGUCACUAUUACUGUACCUACGAAGCAGUGGCAAUGAGUUAUCCUCCAACACAACAGUAGCUGUACCGGUUUUAUCAAUCUGCUAAGUUUAAGAAGGGGACUCUCUUGCGAGGGUAGAAUAAAUAGACAGGAUUGUGUCGAGGCACAGAUCUGGGAAAGGGUACUAAAACAUUUCUGCAGCAUUGAAGGUCCCCAAGAACACAGUGGCCUCCAUCGUUCUUAAAUGGAAUAAGUUUGGAACCACCAAGGCUCUUCCUAGAGCUGGCCGCCCGGCUAAACUGAGCAAGGGCCUAGUUUAGGGAGGUGACCAAGAAAACGAUGGUCACUCUGACAGAGCUCUAGAGUUUCUCUGUGGAGAUGGGAGAAACUUCCAGAAGGACAACCAUCUCUGCAGCACCAAUCAGGCCUUUAUGGUAGAGUGGCCAGACGGAAGACACUCCUCAGUAAAACCAUCUCUGCAGCACCAAUCAGGCCUUUAUGGUAGAGUGGCCAGACGGAAGACACUCCUCAGUAAAACGCACGUUUUGAGUUUGCCAAAAGGCACCUAAAGGACUCUCAGACCAUGAGAAACAAGAUUCUCUGGUCUGAUGAGGCACCUAAAGGACUCUCAGACCAUGAGAAACAAGAUUCUCUGGUCUGAUGAGGCACCUAAAGGACUCUCAGACCCAUGAGAAACAAGAUUCUCUGGUCUGAUGAAACCAAGAUUGAACUAUUUGGCCUGAAUGCCAAGCAUCACGUCUGGAGGAAACCUGGCACCAUCCCUUCGGUGAAGCAUGGUGGUGGUAGCAUCAUGCUGUGGGGAUGUUUUUUAGUGGCAGGCUCUGGGAGACUAAUCAGGAUCGGAGCAAAGUACAGAGAGAUCCUUGAUGAAAACCUGCUCCAGAGCGCUCAGGACUUCAGACUAGGGCGAAGGUUCACCUUCCAACAGGACAACGACCCUAAACACACAGUCAAGACAAUGCAGGAGUGGCUUCGGGACAAGUCUCUGAAUGCCAAUGAGUGACCCAGCCAAAGCCCGGACUUGAACCCAAUCAAACAUCUCUGGAGAGUCCUGAAAAUAGCUGUACACCAACGCUCCCCAUCCAAUCUGAGAGAGCUUGAGGGGAUCUGCAGAGAAGAAUGGGAGAAACUCCCCAAAUACAGGUGUGCCAAGCUUGUAGCGUCUUACCCAAGACGACUCGAGGCUGUAAUCGCUGCCAAAGGUGCUUCAACAAAGUACUGAGUAAAGGGUUUGAAUACUAACGUAAAUGAGAUAUUUCUUUAUUUUUUUUCCAUUUGCUAAAAUGUUUAAAAUAUAUUUUUGCAUUGGUAUUAUGUGUUGAUUGAUGAGGAUUUUUUUAAUGAUUAUUAUUAUUUUACUUUUUAUUAACCCCUUUUUCUCACCAAUUUUGUGGUAUCCAAUUGGUAGUUACAGUCCUGUCCCAUCGCUGCAACUCUUGUACGGACUUAGGAGAGGCAAAGUUCAAGAGCAACCCAGCCAAGCUGCACUGCUCAGGGAUGCAAAUUAGACCGUUUUGAAUGCAAAAUAGGUGACCAGCGUGAUUCGUGUAGAUCCAAUGAGAGGGAGGUUGGAUCACUACUGGCUAUAAGCGAAUGAGUGAUGCGCGUUUGGAGCAAUACUGGCUGUAUCCAAGGCUCAGCCAAUCAUUGACAUAACAACAGAAUGCAGCGUAGCACGCGACUGAAGAGAGAAGAGACAACCAACUUACUAGCUACAGCAUCAGCGAGAGCUCUGGAAAGGCAGUUUGCCAGUUACAGCAUCAGCGAGAGCUCUGGAAAGGCAGUUUGCCAGUUACAGCAUCAGCGAGAGCUCUGGAAAGGCAGUUUGCCAGUUACAGCAUCAGCGAGAGCUCUGGAAAGGCAGUUUGCCAGUUACAGCAUCAGCGAGAGCUCUGGAAAGGCAGUUUGCCAGUUACAGCAUCAGCGAGCCUCUGGAAAGGCAGUUUGCCAGUUACAGCAUCAGCGAGAGCUCUGGAAAGGCAGUUUGCCAGUUACAGCAUCAGCGAGAGCUCUGGAAAGGCAGUUUGCCAGUUACAGCAUCAGCGAGAGCUCUGGAAAGCAGCGUGUCCCCUGAACGAUAACGAAGAGGUAACGUUAGGUGAGAAGCCUGACCACGGAGACAGACGGGGCUGAGAAGGUGAUGAAACGGACUUCAUGAGCUGUAACCGAAAAACAACUGGCAUUUAGAAAGUUUUAGGUGAGGGUGAAAGUGGUGGAACAAGUAUUAGCAUUGUUAUGUAUCUUGCUAGCUGGAUUGAAUUCUCCAUUAGCUAGCCAGAGAAAUGUUGAGCAACAUUAGCCAACUCAUCUGAUCAAAUAAUUGAGUUUAUGGUGUGAAAAUUAGCUUGCUAAUGAAGUCAGACAGCUAACGUUACAACAUCAGAUGAGCUGACAUUAGUAACCUAACCAAUUCGCUACAGUAUUAACUGGUAUACGACUCCUUGCCGUUCCUCAAGUUAUAACGCGUUAGUUGCAUACUGGACCCUGGCAAUCUGUGGGAAAUGUUAACUAGCUAACGAACUAACCACUAUCUGUUAAGUAAUGUUUUCAUUCUACAGUAUGUGGUUCAUUUUCAGAAUGAGAGAAUCAGGUGAAAAUGAUACUUAUUAUAAUACUUAUUUUCCACCAUAAUUUGCAAAUAAAUUAAUUAAAAAUCCUACAAUGUGAUUUUCUGGAUUUUAUUUCUCAUUUUGUCUGUCAUAGUUGAAGUGUACCUAGGCCUGUAAUUUUCAUCAUAUCUCUUCUUUUUAAGUGGGAGAACUUGCAUAAUUAGUGGCUGACUAAAUACUUUUUUGCCCCACUGUACUUGUAUGCUUGUAUGCACAGCUAGAUAAUAUCUAGUAAUAUCAUCAACCAUGUGUAGUUAACUAGUGAUUAUGAUUGAUUGUUUUUUAUAAGAUAAGUUUAAUGCUAGCUAGAAACUUACCUUGGCUUACUGCAUUCGUGUAACAGGCAGUCUCCUUGUGGAGUGCAACGAGAGAGAGGCAGGUCGUUAUUGCGUUGGACUAGUUAAAUGUAUGGUUGCAAGAUUGGAUCCCCUGAGCUAACAAGGUGAAAAUCUGUCGUUCUGCCCCUGAACAAGGCAGUUAACCCACCGUUCCUAGGCCGUCAAUGAAAAUAAGAAUGUGUUCUUAACUGACUUGCCUAGUUAAAUAAAGGUAUAAAAAAUA